RNAcentral lists this ribosomal RNA (618 nucleotides) under uncultured bacterium. Its description in RNAcentral is "bacterial SSU rRNA". The stretch from base 1 to 520 matches the Rfam family "Bacterial small subunit ribosomal RNA", at positions 338 to 873 of the family's 1533-position model. The record is from RNAcentral.
CCUACGGGAGGCAGCAGUGGGGAAUAUUGGACAAUGGGCGAAAGCCUGAUCCAGCAAUGCCGCGUGAGUGAUGAAGGCCUUAGGGUUGUAAAGCUCUUUUACCAGGGAUGAUAAUGACAGUACCUGGAGAAUAAGCUCCGGCUAACUCCGUGCCAGCAGCCGCGGUAAUACGGAGGGAGCUAGCGUUGUUCGGAAUUACUGGGCGUAAAGCGUACGUAGGCGGUUAUUCAAGUCAGAGGUGAAAGCCUGGAGCUCAACUCCAGAACUGCCUUUGAAACUAGAUAGCUAGAAUCUUGGAGAGGUGAGUGGAAUUCCGAGUGUAGAGGUGAAAUUCGUAGAUAUUCGGAAGAACACCAGUGGCGAAGGCGACUCACUGGACAAGUAUUGACGCUGAGGUACGAAAGCGUGGGGAGCAAACAGGAUUAGAUACCCUGGUAGUCCACGCCGUAAACGAUGAUAACUAGCUGUUCGGGCUCUACGAGCUUGUAGUGGCGCAGCUACGACAUUAAGUUAGUCCGUCCGUCGGGAGGUACGGUCGGCGAGAAGUUAAACGUUAAAGUUAGUUAAGUUAGUACGGUUCGUUGAGACGUUGCCGACGGACGACGACGAGGGAGGAGG